Molecule: ribosomal RNA, 844 nt
Filed under: Klebsiella oxytoca
Lineage: Bacteria; Pseudomonadati; Pseudomonadota; Gammaproteobacteria; Enterobacterales; Enterobacteriaceae
Description: partial 23S ribosomal RNA
Rfam family: Bacterial large subunit ribosomal RNA
Source: RNAcentral
GGUUAAGCGACUAAGCGUACACGGUGGAUGCCCUGGCAGUCAGAGGCGAUGAAGGACGUGCUAAUCUGCGAAAAGCGUCGGUAAGGUGAUAUGAACCGUUACAGCCGGCGAUGUCCGAAUGGGGAAACCCAGUGCAAUUCGUUGCACUAUCGUUAACUGAAUACAUAGGUUAACGAGGCGAACCGGGGGAACUGAAACAUCUAAGUACCCCGAGGAAAAGAAAUCAACCGAGAUUCCCCCAGUAGCGGCGAGCGAACGGGGAGCAGCCCGGAGUCUGAAUCAGCUUGUGUGUUAGUGGAAGCGUCUGGAAAGUCGCAGGGUACAGGGUGAUACUCCCGUACACUAAAACACACAGGCUGUGAACUCGAAGAGUAGGGCGGGACACGUGGUAUCCUGUCUGAAUAUGGGGGGACCAUCCUCCAAGGCUAAAUACUCCUGACUGACCGAUAGUGAACCAGUACCGUGAGGGAAAGGCGAAAAGAACCCCGGCGAGGGGAGUGAAAAAGAACCUGAAACCGUGUACGUACAAGCAGUAGGAGCCCACUAGUUGGGUGACUGCGUACCUUUUGUAUAAUGGGUCAGCGACUUAUAUUCUGUAGCAAGGUUAACCGAAUAGGGGAGCCGCAGGGAAACCGAGUCUUAACUGGGCGUUAAGUUGCAGGGUAUAGACCCGAAACCCGGUGAUCUAGCCAUGGGCAGGUUGAAGGUUGGGUAACACUAACUGGAGGACCGAACCGACUAAUGUUGAAAAAUUAGCGGAUGACUUGUGGCUGGGGGUGAAAGGCCAAUCAAACCGGGAGAUAGCUGGUUCUCCCCGAAAGCUAUUUAGGUAGCGCCUCGUGAA